AGCCUUAUAUUCAUAAAUGAUAAUAGAAUGCAAUUCUAUAGGAGUAGUUAAACUACUAAGGCUU
Molecule: transfer RNA, 64 nt
Filed under: Rhabdoblatta densimaculata
Lineage: Eukaryota; Metazoa; Arthropoda; Insecta; Blattodea; Blaberidae
Description: tRNA-Cys
Source: RNAcentral